This 73-nucleotide transfer RNA is filed under the name Paracoccus denitrificans. RNAcentral describes it as "tRNA-Ile". It matches the Rfam family "tRNA". From Rfam's summary of the family: Transfer RNA (tRNA) molecules are approximately 80 nucleotides in length. Their secondary structure includes four short double-helical elements and three loops (D, anti-codon, and T loops). The record is from RNAcentral. Lineage: Bacteria; Pseudomonadati; Pseudomonadota; Alphaproteobacteria; Rhodobacterales; Paracoccaceae.
GGGUCGGUAGCUCAGGUGGUUAGAGCGCACGCCUGAUAAGCGUGAGGUCGGAGUUCAAGUUCUCGACCCACCA